RNAcentral lists this ribosomal RNA (301 nucleotides) under uncultured bacterium. RNAcentral describes it as "partial 16S ribosomal RNA". It matches the Rfam family "Bacterial small subunit ribosomal RNA", at positions 509 to 807 of the family's 1533-position model. The record is from RNAcentral.
CAGCCGCCACGGUAAAACGGAGGGUGCAAGCGUUAAUCGGAAUUACUGGGCGUAAAGCGCACGCAGGCGGUUUGUUAAGUCAGAUGUGAAAUCCCCGAGCUUAACUUGGGAACUGCAUUUGAAACUGGCAAGCUAGAGUCUUGUAGAGGGGGGUAGAAUUCCAGGUGUAGCGGUGAAAUGCGUAGAGAUCUGGAGGAAUACCGGUGGCGAAGGCGGCCCCCUGGACAAAGACUGACGCUCAGGUGCGAAAGCGUGGGGAGCAAACAGGAUUAGAUACCCCGGUAGUCCCUGUCUCUUAUAC